RNAcentral lists this ribosomal RNA (399 nucleotides) under Cryptosporidium andersoni. RNAcentral's name for it is "SSU rRNA". It matches the Rfam family "Eukaryotic small subunit ribosomal RNA", at positions 596 to 1025 of the family's 1831-position model. Lineage: Eukaryota; Apicomplexa; Conoidasida; Eucoccidiorida; Cryptosporidiidae. The record is from RNAcentral.
AGCGUAUAUUAAAGUUGUUGCAGUUAAAAAGCUCGUAGUUGGAUUUCUGUUGUAUAAUUUAUAAUAUUACCAAGGUAAUUAUUAUAUUAUCAACAUCCUUCCUAUUAUAUUCUAAAUAUAUAGGAAAUUUUACUUUGAGAAAAUUAGAGUGCUUAAAGCAGGCAACUGCCUUGAAUACUCCAGCAUGGAAUAAUAAGUAAGGACUUUUGUCUUUCUUAUUGGUUCUAGGACAAAAGUAAUGGUUAAUAGGGACAGUUGGGGGCAUUCGUAUUUAACAGCCAGAGGUGAAAUUCUUAGAUUUGUUAAAGACGAACUACUGCGAAAGCAUUUGCCAAGGAUGUUUUCAUUAAUCAAGAACGAAAGUUAGGGGAUCGAAGACGAUCAGAUACCGUCGUAGUC